GUGGGGAAUAUUGGGCAAUGGGGGAAACCCUGACCCAGCAACGCCGCGUGAAGGAAGAAGGUUUUCGGAUCGUAAACUUCUAUCCUUGGUGAAGAUAAUGACGGUAGCCAAGAAGGAAGCCCCGGCUAACUACGUGCCAGCAGCCGCGGUAAUACGUAGGGGGCAAGCGUUGUCCGGAAUGAUUGGGCGUAAAGGGCGCGUAGGCGGCCUGGUAAGUCUGGAGUGAAAGUCCUGCUUUUAAGGUAGGAAUUGCUUUGGAUACUGUCGUGCUUGAGUGCAGGAGAGGUAAGCGGAAUUCCCGGUGUAGCGGUGAAAUGCGUAGAGAUCGGGAGGAACACCAGUGGCGAAGGCGGCUUACUGGACUGUAACUGACGCUGAGGCGCGAAAGUGUGGGGAGCAAACAGGAUUAGAAACCCCAGUAGUCC
This 425-nucleotide ribosomal RNA is filed under the name uncultured bacterium. RNAcentral's name for it is "partial 16S ribosomal RNA". It matches the Rfam family "Bacterial small subunit ribosomal RNA", at positions 354 to 796 of the family's 1533-position model. The record is from RNAcentral.